GCCGGGCGCGGUGGCUCACGCCUGUAAUCCUAACACUCUGGGAGGCCGAGGCGGGAGGAUCGCUCGAGGUCAGGAGUUUGAGACCAGCCUGAGCAAGAGCAAGACCCCGUCUCUACUAAAAAUAGAAAGAAAUUAGCUAGACAACUAAAAAUAUAUAGAAAAAGUUAGCUGGGCAUGGUGGUGCAUGCCUGUAGUCCCAGCUGUUUGGGAGACUGAGGCGGGCGGAUUGCUCAAGGUCAGGAUGUCGAAACCAGCCUGAGCAAGAGUGAGACCCCGUCUCU
RNAcentral lists this small RNA (281 nucleotides) under Microcebus murinus (gray mouse lemur). RNAcentral describes it as "Metazoan signal recognition particle RNA (ENSMICG00000032236.2)". The record is from RNAcentral. Lineage: Eukaryota; Metazoa; Chordata; Mammalia; Primates; Cheirogaleidae.